RNAcentral lists this ribosomal RNA (446 nucleotides) under Prosthiostomum sp. n. JR-2020. Its description in RNAcentral is "partial large subunit ribosomal RNA". It matches the Rfam family "Bacterial large subunit ribosomal RNA", at positions 1830 to 2606 of the family's 2925-position model. Lineage: Eukaryota; Metazoa; Platyhelminthes; Polycladida; Prosthiostomidae. The record is from RNAcentral.
UUCUUUAGAAUAUAUUAAAGAUAAAACCUGCUCAAUGUUAAUAAAUAAAUAGCCGCGGUAAUUUAACUGCGCGAAGGUAGCAUAAUUAAUUGUCUUUUGAUUGGUGACUAGUCUGAACGGUUUAAUGAGAAUUUUUCUUUUUUUAAUAUUUAAUGAAAUUAUUUUCCACGGUUAAAAAACCUGGAUUAUUUAAGAAAGAAGAGAAGACCCCGAUGAAUUUUACAAUUAAAAAUUGUUUAAAUGGGAAAUUUCAAUUUUUUUUAAACUUGUUUUAGAUCCUUCUUUGAAGAAAAAGAUUAAAAUUACCACGGGGAUAACAGGACAAGAUUUGCUAAGAGUACUUAUUAAAGCAAAGGAUUGUUACCUCGAUGUUGAAUCAAAGUUUACUUCUUGGUGCAGCAGCUAAGUAGGUGGGUCUGUUCGACCCUUAAAACUUUACGUGAUUU